GGUCAAGCAAAACAAGGCGCACGGUGGAUGCCUUGGCAUCAAGGGCCGACGAAGGGCGUGGCAAGACUGCGAUAAGCCUCGGUAAGCUGUCUAGCAAGCUUUAACCGGGGAUUCCCGAAUGAGGCAACUCACACCGGCAAAACCGGUGUACCCCUGGCUCAACACAUAGGCCAGGCGGGGGCAAGUGGGGGAAGUGAAACAUCUCAGUACCCCGAGGAAAAUACAUUAUUCCCUUAGUAGUGGCGAACGAACGGGGAACAGCCUAAACCGGGUAAACUUAGUGGCUCUGGAGCCUAUGUUUAUCCGGGGUAGUAAGACGGAUUGGGCGUUGUUCAGAAAGCGCCAUGGAGUUACAAACCCAACUCUAGCAGAAGGUCUCUGGAAAGAGCCACCACAGACGGUGAUAGUCCGGUAGGCGAAAGAGGCAAGCUCCAAGUCCUGUUCUUGAGUACCACGGGGCACGAAGAACCCUGUGGGAACCCGCCGAGACCACUCGGUAAGGCUAAAUACCCUUGAUGACCGAUAGUGAACAAGUACCGUGAGGGAAAGGUGAAAAGCACCGCGAAAGCGGAGUGAAAUAGACCUGAAACCGUGCGCCAACAAGCAGUCAGAGCCUGGACGCAAGUCCUGGUAAUGGCGUGCCUAUUGAAGAAUGAGCCGACGAGUUAAUCUGUGUAGCCGGUUAAGUGAUUAAGUCACGGAGCCAAAGCGAAAGCGAGUCUGAAUAGGGCGACUAUGGUUGCACGGAUUAGACCCGAAGCCGGGUGAGCUAUCCAUGGCCAGGGUGAAGCUUCGAUAAUCUCGAAGUGGAGGCCCGAACCGUUUAGCGUUGCAAAGCUAUCGGAUGAGCUGUGGAUAGGGGUGAUAUGCCAAUCGAACCCGGGGAUAGCUGGUUCUCCCCGAAAUGUAUUGAGGUACAGCCUCGGAUGGUGGUUAGCGGAGGUAGAGCUCUGAAUGGAAUAGGUGGGAGAGUAUCCUGUCAACUCCAAUCAAACUGCGAAUGCCGCUAACUUAGUCCGGGAGUGAGACUACGAGGGCUAAGCUCCGUGGUCGAGAGGGAAACAGCCCAGACCGUCAGCUAAGGUCCCUAAGAACAGGCUAAGUGGCAAAGGAAGUAGAAUUGCGUAGACAGCCAGGAGGUUGGCUUAGAAGCAGCCACCCUUUAAAGAGUGCGUAACAGCUCACUGGUUGAGUGGUACUGCGCCGACAACCCAACGGGGCUAAGCCUGUCACCGAAGCUACGGCAUUCCGUUUACGGAAUGGGUAGGGGAGCGUUCUUUUAGCAGCGAAGUCGAAUCGUGAGGUUCGGUGGAGCUUUAAGAAGUGAGAAUGUCGGCAUGAGUAGCGCAAGAUAUGUGAGAAACAUAUCCGCCGGAAACCCGAGGUUUCCUAAGCAAGGUUAAUCCGCUUAGGGUUAGUCGGGCCUAAGCCGAGGCCGUAAGGCGUAGUGCGAUGGACAACAGGUUAUUAUUCCUGUACCGCUGUGGUGGAGGCAAAGGGGUGACGCAGGAGGUUAGUUCGAGCAUUCCCAUUGGACAUGGAGUGUCGCUCAACGGAGAUGAUGCCGGGGCAGGUAAAUCCACCCCGGAUAUAGUUGAAAAUGAGAGGAAGUUGCGAGGAGACUCAAGACGAUUCGAGUAACGCCAGGCUGCCUAGAAAAGCCUCGUUGCCGUUGAAACCAUAGCGCCCGUACCUAAACCGACUCUGGUGGGUGGGGAUAAGAGUCCCAAGGUGAUCGAGAUAACCCUCGUUAAGGAACUUGGCAAUCUAGCCCCGUAACUUUGGAAGAAGGGGUGCCCUGAUUUAUCAGGGUUACAAUAAAUGGGCCCAAGUGACUGUUUAACUAAAACACAGGUCUGUGCUAAAGCGUAAGCUGAUGUAUACAGGCUGAUACCUGCCCAGUGCUGGAAGGUUAAUGGGAGGGGUUAGCGCAAGCGAAGCUCCGAACGAAAGCCCCAGUGAACGGCGGCCGUAACUAUAACGGUCCUAAGGUAGCGAAGUCCCUUGUCGGGUAAGUUCCGACCCGCACGAAUGGUGUAACAACUUGGGCGCUGUCUUAACGAGGGACUCGGCGAAAUUGAAAUACCCGUGAAGAUGCGGGUUUCCCGUCACAGGACAAAAAGACCCCGUGGAGCUUUACUGUAACUUGUCAUUGAGUCUGGUUUUACCAUGUGUAGCAUAGUUGGGAGGCUUUGAAGCCGGGGCGCUAGCCCUGGUGGAGCCGAAAUGUGAAAUACCAAUCUUGGUGAAUCUAGCCUCUAACCCCGGAGCAAGCCGUGGGACAGUGGCUGGUGGGCAGUUUGACUGGGGCGGUCGCCUCCCAAAAUGUAACGGAGGCGCCCAAAGGUCCCCUCAGGGUGGAUGGAAAUCACCCGUAGAGUGCAUUGGCAUAAGGGGGCUUGACUGCAAGACUUACAAGUCGAGCAGGGACGAAAGUCGGGCAAAGUGAUCCUACGGUACCGUGUGGAAGGGCCGUAGCUUAACGGAUAAAAGCUACCCCGGGGAUAACAGGCUUAUCUUGCCCAAGAGUUCAUAUCGACGGCAAGGUUUGGCACCUCGAUGUCGGCUCGUCGCAUCCUGGGGCUGGAGAAGGUCCCAAGGGUCCGGCUGUUCGCCGGUUAAAGCGGCACGCGAGCUGGGUUCAGACCGUCGUGAGACAGGUCGGUCUCUAUCCGUGAUGGGCGCAUGGAAACUUGAGGGGAGUUACCUGUAGUACGAGAGGAUCCAGGUGAACAAACAUAUGGUGUGCCAGUUGUCUCGCCAGAGGCAUCGCUGGGUAGCCAAGUUUGGUUCGGAUAAACGCUGAAAGCAUCUAAGUGUGAAGCCGGCCCCAAGAUGAGGUUUCCCAUCCCUCGCAAGAGGGGGUAAGGUCGCAGGUAGACCACCUGCUUGAUAGGCCACAUGUGUAAGCACCGUAAGGUGUUCAGCUGAGUGGUACUAAUGACCGAGGGCUUGACCUG
RNAcentral lists this ribosomal RNA (2960 nucleotides) under Dehalococcoidia bacterium. Its description in RNAcentral is "23S ribosomal RNA". It matches the Rfam family "Bacterial large subunit ribosomal RNA". The record is from RNAcentral. Lineage: Bacteria; Bacillati; Chloroflexota; Dehalococcoidia.